CCGCAGGUACACUGCCUGAUGCCCAUUUCACUCCCCUCUGGUCACAGCCAUUCACUCUUGCGACGGCUGGACUUCUUGAGCGCCUACAAAUCCCCUUACCAGGAACCGAGGAUACAGAAAUCCAAAGUUGAGGUCUCUGCCUUCAGCGGGAGUCCAGCCUGGUUUAGAGCGAGAUACAGAAACAAACAAAAAACUGUGUCAUCUCAACAGUUGACCUCAGAGUUCUUCAUCAGGAGGGCACUGGCUUUAUUUAGGAAAGAUCUUGAUAAACUUCUGGAGCAGAACAAUUUGGUUCACGAGGGCAUAGAUGUUGUCAGAGACAGGAAUUGGUGGUUGGAGUUCCUGAAAGAGAGGGGAAGAGAAGGCAGGACGUGCACAGGUGGCCCAGCUGUGAGAAAGCCUGGCUGGAGGACCACUUUGAAGAGUGAUAUGGAUUUUUCAGUGCUUUGCUUUUAAAAGUACCUCUGGUGACCCAUACAGCUUCAGUAAACAUUCUGUGGCUCCCAGCAGAAUUCUGUUCACUGUUACCGCAGAAGCAGUGAUCAAAGAGAAGGGGCUCUGUUGGGUGCAUGCCAGGGCAGAGGUCAAGGAAAAGCCACCGAUAGAGACAAAGAACAGCUUGACCAAGGCUGAAAACUGGCACAAAGGUCAUUGCUUGGGAAAAAGAAAACAAAACAGGAGGAGGAGGAGGAGAAAGUAUAGAAACAAGAAAUAGAAGCAGGAGCAUAAGCAAAUGAAGAGGAACUAGAUGAUGGUGAUGAGAAGAAGAAAAAACAGACUGGAAGAAAGUAGAAAAAACAGGUGCUGCUGCUUCUUGGCCUUCUUCACCCUCUGACUGCGCACUGUACUCAGAGCAUCCAGCAGUGCAAGGAUCUGACAGGGACAAAACCUGGUGAGCAUCAGAAUACUCUCACAGACGCCGCACACUCCCAUCCAGGCACAUCAGCUAAUGGAAUCCAAGAUAGAGGCAACCCAGGAUCCAAAUGAAUGUUAACGCCUUGAAAAUGCAUCCCCAGAAAGUCCUGGAAGCUCCACCUUCUGCAACAGCUGAGAGCUACUUCUGUGCGUGCUCUGAAGCUCUCAUUCCGCAGCCUCCUGGACCUCAGUGAUGUGAUUCAGAUACUAAUUCAGCCCGAUCACCCUUUUUUGGAGAUAAUCUUUUUCUUUAUGGCUUUUUAAAAUGUCUUCUCUUUGUAAA
Symphalangus syndactylus (siamang) is the source of this 1198-nucleotide long non-coding RNA. RefSeq lists it as uncharacterized. The record is from RefSeq and is a predicted model, not a curated record. Lineage: Eukaryota; Metazoa; Chordata; Mammalia; Primates; Hylobatidae.